Molecule: ribosomal RNA, 261 nt
Filed under: uncultured archaeon
Lineage: Archaea
Description: partial 16S ribosomal RNA
Rfam family: Archaeal small subunit ribosomal RNA
Source: RNAcentral
AGGGUGUAAACGCCGCAGACUUGGUGUUGGAAGCCCUUUGGGGGCAUUCAGUGCCGGAGAGAAGUUGUUAAGUCUGCUACUUGGGGAGUACGUCCGCAAGGAUGAAACUUAAAGGAAUUGGCGGGGGAGCACCGCAACGGGAGGAGCGUGCGGUUUAAUUGGAUUCAACACCGUAAAACUCACCAGGGAAGACUGUUACAUGAAGGCCGAGAUGAAGACUCUGCCAGAUUUUCAGAGAGGAGGUGCAUGGCGUCAGUGACU